AAAUCAGUUUCAUCUCCUCCUCUUUUCCUUCAAAGCUCACGUGCUCUCUCUCUUCAACUACUCAUCUUCAUCUUUCUCUCUAGAAAAACAAACAGAACAAGCAACCCAUACAUACUCCAUCUUUCUCACUUUGUGUAAGUUUUAAGCUUUGCAUGUAGCAUCAAACAUUAACCCUUAAUCUUAGAAAUUAAUAGAAGAUGUUUGAAACUCCAAUCUUCCCUUUUUCCUUAGCUUGGCCGAAAUCCUCUCUCUCAUUGGUCAAGUUCAUCUAAUUCUUCAAUGAGACUAUGCAUGUGUCCAUUAAAGCUUCCUUCCACCAUUGUAUGUUGUUGGGUAAUCAAGGUAUAUGAGAGAAAUUCAACCUAUUCCUUUCCCCUUUGUUUCAUCAGAACCCUAAAUUAAAUUCCCUCACUAAAGUUCACGAGAGAAACUCAUCUUAGUCUUCUAUUCCCUAUUCCUUUUGAUUUGGUCGAAAUCCAAACAACAAGCCUAAACCCCAAACUCAGUUUCUUCAAAUUCAUAUUUGCAUGUGAAAGAUCCUACUCAAGUUCAAGCCUUUGGGUUACUAGGAAUCUAAGGUAAGAGGAAUCAAACUCAUCUUCUUUUCUUUCUUGGUUAUGUUAGACUCUAAGUCCUUCUUGGUGUAAUUGCAUGUUCCUAAUUACUGAACUUGGAGCACUUGGGAGGAGUUAAGAAUUGAUGGGUGAAAUAAGAAAACAAGAGGAAUUGGAAUGGCUGUGCAAAAAUCGUGUUUCUGGACAGGGUCUCACUAAAACGUAUUGAGUUCAGGAGACGCAUCUGAAGUUCAGGGUCUGAUGCAGAAUUUUGGGCUACGGGUUUGAAGUGUUGUGGCUGCAAUUUCUGUUUUUCAGCAAACUCCGGAUGUGUCAAUGGUACUGUUAAAGCAUCAAAUUCAGGUAAACAGGUUAAUCGGAGCAAGGACCAGGCAGGAACUGAUGAUCGAGGUUGAGCUUGGAUUAUCGGAUUAGAAGACUAUCGUCUUCUUCUUUGUUUUUUGUUAAUCUGUUAUUAAGAUUUCAGUCAUCAUUUCAACUGUGUUGUAUUGAUUAUCACAUUAUUCUCGUGAUAAUUUGUAAUUCGAUUAAUUAUUCUGUAAAUUUUAAUGUACUCAGAUUCAAUUAUUAAUAUCUCGACUAAAUAU
Molecule: long non-coding RNA, 1162 nt
Organism: Trifolium pratense (red clover)
Lineage: Eukaryota; Viridiplantae; Streptophyta; Magnoliopsida; Fabales; Fabaceae
Exons: 3
Source: RefSeq, a predicted model, not a curated record